Molecule: transfer RNA, 72 nt
Filed under: Camelus bactrianus (Bactrian camel)
Lineage: Eukaryota; Metazoa; Chordata; Mammalia; Artiodactyla; Camelidae
Also listed under: 1 other name
Rfam family: tRNA
About the family: Transfer RNA (tRNA) molecules are approximately 80 nucleotides in length. Their secondary structure includes four short double-helical elements and three loops (D, anti-codon, and T loops).
Source: Rfam by way of RNAcentral
GAGGGUAUAGCUCAGUGGCAGAGCGAACGUUUAGCAUGCAAGAGAUCCUGGGUUCAAUCUCCAGUACUUCCA